CUGGCCCCUCAGGCAAUAGGAGCAGUAGCCACUAAAUUGGCCCCUCCCCACCUGAAACCUUCCUGGUGCCUCCAUCAGCCUCUUAGAGCAAAAAUCAGCACAGAGUACUGGUUCUGGGGAAGCGAAGUGAGAACAGCCCCGCAGAUAAGCCCAGGGAGCCUCGCUGGCCUGCAAUGCCCACCUGCCCACCACCAGCCUGGUUCUCUCUUCUUGCUGGCCUGGAUCCUUCCCUUUUGUACCAAAACCGCAGGCAGAGGAAAGGCAAAGAUUUGCCUGAAGCAAAUACAGCAAAUCCUUUCACAAAUACACCCCCUCCCCCGCCCCCCAGAAAGCUGACUGAGAUACCAGGGAGAGGCCUACUUGAUUAGAUUUCUUUGGGGUCUGUGGCCUAAUUUCAUUGCAUAUCUUAGCUUGAGGUUCCUAUAGUGACUGUAGCAUGUUUGAUUUCUCCAAGCCGUUCUUGGGCUGGUGCAUAAAUUCUCAUCUCUGGAUAUUCUCGUAAGACCCUUGUAAGCUAUAUUCCUGAGGUCCCUGGUCCUGCAGACUAUGUUCCUAUUCUAGCCUCCUCAUUCCCCAGUGCUGUGUCCCCCUGCAAGUCACUUCGCCUCCCCAGGCCUCAGUUUCUCCACCUGUAAAAAUGGGGAUAAUAGCUGUCCCGACUUCUUAGGGUUUUUUUUGAGUGUCCAAUGAGGUCAACUAUCUGAAGCCUCAGAUCCAGUCCCAGGCAUGCAGUAGGUCUUUAAUAAGUGUUAGAAACAAUUAGCUCUCAGCUGGAAGAUGAGUUUGGUACACUGGUAAAAAUUAGCCGGAGUUGGGGGUGCGAAUCCCCUUUGUGAGAGGGGCUUGGUCUAGAUACCAUGUUUUGCCCUUUCUGGCCCCUGAGUCAGGGAGUCUCAAACUUUACUGAGCUUUACGGGAGGGAGCUGUGAAAUGCAGAGCCCCAGGCCCUGGGCUGAGAGAGCCUGAUUCGGUAGGUCUGGAGAGGAACGUGCAAUUGAACAACCUCUCACUGCCUCUGCCUCCCCUCCCCUCAAGCUGGGAAUAGAUGUUCCUGAACCAGAAGCUCAGACCCAGAAAUGUGAAGCCAAACCAGAGAGAACCGGCCCCUGCCCCCAGGGAGCUCGCCGCCUGCUAGGGGGUGUUCCCGAAGGGUCAGUUGAGAAGCCUGAGUUCUGGAAUGAGCAGGGACAGCUGUGGGAAUUUAAAAGGUCAGAGGAGACCUACCUCCUAGCACUGUGUGGUUGUUGUCACAAGACAGAAAGUCUCCCAGGCUGGAGCCUUGGGGCAUGAAGGCCUGGGGAGGGAGGGGCGCAGGCUGGUCGUGACCCUGUCUGUGCUGGGGCGGGGACACGUGGUAGAUGAGGCCGUAAGGUGGAAUUUGCACUGAGGCGGUUCAGUGUUGCCUGUGGGCUCAGCUUUAUCCUUUCAAGCUGUGUGACCUUGGGCGGGCAACUUCCCCCUUCCUAAGCUUUAUUUCCACCUCUGCAAAGGGACGCCAAUGCCACCAGCCGCCCGCGGUGGUGAUUUACCGAGAAGGGAGGAGGCAAUAUGGAACGCAGAGCCCACGUGUGCCCAGCAUUUGGCAAGUACUCGGGGAAGGAAUUAGGAAGGGCAGGAGUUACAUCAUUCACUUCUUUAUACAGCUGAGAAAACAAGCAGAGGAGGUUCAGCGAGGUGAGGCCGGUUGCCCAAGGUCACACAGCCUGUAGCGGGCCAGGGGCCCGGGCCAGGCUGUCCGACCUGCGCUCUAAUCACUGAGCCCCCCGGCCCGAACCUGCCCCCUCCCCGUUGCUUUGCCCCGGUCUCCGUGGCCCUUGGGCGCCGGAAGGCCGCGUGGAGGCCGCGGAGACCAGUGGCAGGGCCAGGGCCUAGCCCGCGGGGCGGGAGGGGUUAACGGGCUCCGCCGCAUUGGGCCGGCCUCCGGGGGAAUCAGCCAAUGGGCGAGCGCCGCGAUGAGAUGAGGAAUCUGAGACCCAGGGAGCCUAAGUAACCUGCCCACGGUCGCAGAGCCAGCAAGUGGAGGAGCCCCGACGUGAAGCCCCAGAAGCUGGCUCUAGCCCCAAUAAUUACCAGUGGUACAAAUAUUAAACGCUUACUGAAUACCUGGGGCUGUGAUCAGCACUUUACAGCAGAUCUGUCCUCAUCUUCAGCCACGCCUCCCUUCUGCAGAGUCAUUUUUGAUUCUGCACCACCACCACCCCCCUCCCCAGCUGGAGAUGGAAGGAGGAUGCUGGCCAUUCAUUCCUCAUCCAGGCCAUCGAUGGAAAUGUCAGACCGCGCAAGUCCACGCCUGAACAGCCCUCGUGGCCGCCGGGCGCUGACGCUGGCAGAUCCAUUGAUGAGCUGGGCGCCUGCCACCUCUGGGUCUGCCUCAGAGCGACGCGGCCACAGGCCUGGCUCGUGGCUUCUCCGGAGUUGACUCCGAAUGCACAGCGUGGGCCUAAUAGGGAGCUGGGGGCAAGCGCACACAGCACGCCCACGUCCACGGGCUGGCGCAGGAGGAAAACAGGGUCAGGCAGGUGACAUAAGACAGAUGGGGAUUCCGGGGGGACAGGCUGGAUGGUGUAGCCCUAAUGGUGAAGACCUGGGUCACACAGGCCUGUCAUCCCUGACCCCAAAUCCCUGGGCAGAAGGUUCGAGAACUCGGAAUUUUUCCAGUUGUAGAAAGAUGAUCUGACACGUAUACCGCCUAUUUCCUAACACCCCCCAAGGAGGUGUGGGGCAAACCCUGCAAUCAAACAAGUUAAUAUGUCUGCAGCAGAGCUGACUCGCCAAAUCCCAGUUCCUCGACUUGCCACCGGGGCCGUGGUGCCCAGCUCCCGGGGUGGUCCCGAGAAUUUGAUGCCUGCCGGGCCUCCGACGCAGGUGCAUGUCCUGCCCCCGCCCUUUGCACUUACUGCUCCUUUCCGGGACAUUCCUCUCCAGGAUGGCUUUCUCACUUCCACGCGGGCUCUGCUCAAACGCCACCCACCUCCUCAGCGAGGCUCGCCCUGGCCGUGCCCGCCUCCUCCCGCCCCCUCUCGCUCUCCUUCCUCUUCCUUCUCAGCACCUACCACCUGACCUCUAACUUAAUCAAUAACUCAUUUAUCCGUUGCCUGCUCUCCCUCGGUGGAGUCUGGGCCUCUCGAGGGCAGGACUCCUUUCUGUCCCUCCAGCACCUAGGACAGUACCCGCGCAGGUGGGCCCUCCCAGUCUUGGUUCGGGAACAACAAACAGUCUGUUCAAGUGCCCAGCACAUCAUCAGAAAGCCUCAAUAAAGCCGAGCUGGUACCAUCACCA
Long non-coding RNA from Mirounga angustirostris (Northern elephant seal), 3279 nucleotides. RefSeq lists it as uncharacterized. The transcript is spliced from 4 exons. Lineage: Eukaryota; Metazoa; Chordata; Mammalia; Carnivora; Phocidae. The record is from RefSeq and is a predicted model, not a curated record.